ACUUUCCUCUUCUCCCGGACCGGAGGAGCCGCUCUUUCCACGCGGUGCAUUCUGCGGACCGAGGUCGAGCCCGCUGCUGCCGCCAUCACCUGAAAGAAGCGAGAAGAGGCCGCGACCGGGGAGAAAACGCGGAGUCGCCACUGGAGAGAAGUCGACUCCCUAGCAGCAGCAGCCACCGCCAGAGAGGCCCGCCCACCCAUUCGCCCGUCCCCCUGCCCCGUUCACAAUGCAGCCUGCUUCUGCAAAGUGGUACGAUCGAAGGGACUAUGUCUUCAUUGAAUUUUGUGUUGAAGACAGUAAGGAUGUUAAUGUAAAUUUUGAAAAGUCCAAACUUACAUUCAGUUGUCUCGGAGGAAGUGAUAAUUUUAAGCAUUUAAAUGAAAUUGAUCUUUUUCACUGUAUUGAUCCAAAUGAUUCCAAGCAUAAAAGAACGGACAGAUCAAUUUUAUGUUGUUUACGAAAAGGAGAAUCUGGCCAGUCAUGGCCAAGGUUAACAAAAGAAAGGGCAAAGCUUAAUUGGCUUAGUGUCGACUUCAAUAAUUGGAAAGACUGGGAAGAUGAUUCAGAUGAAGACAUGUCUAAUUUUGAUCAUUUCUCUGAGAUGAUGAACAACAUGGGUGGUGAUGAGGAUGUAGAUUUACCAGUAGAUGGAGCAGAUGAUGAUUCACAAGACAGUGAUGAUGAAAAAAUGCCAGAUCUGGAGUAAGGAGUAUUGUCAUCACUUGGAUUUUGAGAAAGAAAAAUAACUUCUCUGCAAGAUUUCAUAAUUGAGAGAAUUCCUGAGUUGAUAGCUCUAAAGGCAGAUGCUGUAUUUCCCCACUUUAACCCAUUUUUCAACCUGUUUGUUUUUUAAAAGGCUUCACUAAGGGUUGAUAUGUACCAUUGUAUGGGGCAAUUUUAAGUCAACUAAGGCAAUAACCUUAUACAUGAACAUUUCCCAGACUUUCAUGAAGCUGCUGAGGUCCUAGGCAAUUGAUGCAGCUGUUGUGAUAAAUAGAAACAUCUCACCUAAGUCUCCUUUUCUUCAUAACAUAGAUACUGACAUGAUAGGAAGCUCUCAGCUUAGGGAAAGAGAACUAAAUUUUAGAUUAUAGAACAUGGAUUCAAAAGUGGCUGGAACAAAUUGGCUGAUACCUUACUGGUAACCUGCUGUUCUCCUGGUGUUCUUCAGGAUUGUUCCACUAAAAUUUAUUUUUCAAAAAAUUUACUUCACAUUAUUCUAUGUAAGUGAUCACUUGUCAGUGUUCCAGGUGUAUCUUAGCUAAAACUAGAGAAUGCCCUAACUUAGAUGGUUUUUGAAGCCUAUACAUUUGGUAUUGUUUGACCCUUAAGCUUUUACAUCUCUUAGCAUGGAGGACGAAGAAAGCUGUACAUGUUGCUUGAGAGUCUGUACAUUUAGACCAGAUUUGUAUUUGCACUGUCAAGUAUGGCAAAUGAGUGAAAAAUGUUUAAUACACUAUUGGAUUUUUUAUUUCUUUUUUUGAUUCAGCUUAUACCAGAGCUGAAAACCUCAAUUUAUGUUCAUGAUAGUGGGGAUUUUUUUAAAUGUCUACAUUCUUUCUAAUAAACUGUUGGAAGACUUAAAAA
This is an RNA transcript of Piliocolobus tephrosceles (Ugandan red Colobus), 1587 nucleotides long. It is a transcript of the gene named prostaglandin E synthase 3 pseudogene, with no coding region annotated. The record is from RefSeq and is a predicted model, not a curated record. NCBI's taxonomy places the organism in Eukaryota, Metazoa, Chordata, Mammalia, Primates, Cercopithecidae. The transcript has a single exon.